This 497-nucleotide ribosomal RNA is filed under the name uncultured bacterium. Its description in RNAcentral is "partial 16S ribosomal RNA". It matches the Rfam family "Bacterial small subunit ribosomal RNA", at positions 28 to 507 of the family's 1533-position model. The record is from RNAcentral.
GAUGAACGCUGGCGGCGUGCCUAAUACAUGCAAGUCGAGCGAACAGACGAUGAUCUUGCUCCUCUGACGUUAGCGGAACACGGGUGAGUAACGCGUGGAUAACCUACCUAUAAUACGGGUAUAACUUCGGAAAACCGGAGCUAAUACCGUAUAAGAUAUUGAACCGCAUUGUUCAAUAGUGAAUUACGGUGUUUCUGUCACGUAUAGAUGCAUCCCCGCCGCAUUAGAUGGUUGGUAAGUUAACAGGUUACCAAGGCAACGAGGCGUAGCCGAGCUGAGAGGGUGGUAGGCGACACUGGAACGGAGCCACGGUCAUGACUCCUGCGGGAGGCCGCAGUAGGGAAUCGUCGGCAAUGGGCGAAAGUUUGACAGAGUAACGCCGCGCGAGUGAUGACGGUCCUCGGUGCGUAAAACUCUGUUAUGAGGGAAGAACAACUGUGUAAGUAAAUAUGCACGUCUUGACGGUAACUAAUAAGAAAGCCACGGCUAACUACGUG